RNAcentral lists this ribosomal RNA (460 nucleotides) under uncultured bacterium. RNAcentral describes it as "partial 16S ribosomal RNA". It matches the Rfam family "Bacterial small subunit ribosomal RNA", at positions 338 to 795 of the family's 1533-position model. The record is from RNAcentral.
CCUACGGGAGGCAGCAGUGAGGAAUAUUGGUCAAUGGACGGAAGUCUGAACCAGCCAUGCAGCGUGCAGGAAGACGGCCCUAUGAGUUGUAAACUGCUUUUGUACAAGGGUAAACCUGAAUACGUGUAUUCAGCUGAAAGUACUUUACGAAUAAGGAUCGGCUAACUCCGUGCCAGCAGCCGCGGUAAUACGGAGGAUCCAAGCGUUAUCCGGAUUUAUUGGGUUUAAAGGGUGCGUAGGCGGAUUGAUAAGUUAGAGGUGAAAUGUCCGGGCUUAACUCGGGAACUGCCUCUAAUACUGGUGUUCUAGAGAGUAGAUGCGGUAGGCGGAAUGUAUGGUGUAGCGGUGAAAUGCUUAGAGAUCAUACAGAACACCGAGUGCGAAGGCAGCUUACCAAUCUAUAUCUGACGUUGAGGCACGAAAGCGUGGGGAGCAAACAGGAUUAGAUACCCCUGUAGUC